UGGCGAAAGCAGGUUUCCUCCAUCAGUAUAUGUGUGGUCCUUAAACAUAUGUCUGACACCAUAUAACUAAAAAUAAAAUGUGUUGAGUGCGUCGUUAAAUAAAACAUUUCCUUCCUUCCUUUUAAGGUGAGGUCUCUACUAAUUGUACUCCAUACGUUUUACAGGGUGGGAUGUAGCCUAGUGGUAAAGCGUUGGCCUAAUGUGCAUUCUGUCCAGGACUGAUCCAGCCAGUGCACCACGACUGGUUUUUCAAAUGCUAUGUAAUGUACUAUCCGGUUGAUGGAAUUGUGCAUAUAAAAGAUCCCUUGAUAUAAUGGAAAAAUAUAGUGGGUUAGUUCUCUGUCAAAAUUACCAAAUGUGUGACAUCCAGUAGCUGAUGAUUAAUAAAUCAGUGCCAGCGGCGGAUCCAGAAAAUCCAUUAUGGGGGGGCCUCAGUGACAUAAGGUGGAAUGCCAAAGGAACUUUGGAGGAGGAUUGUAAAAAAACAAAAAAUUAAUAUAUAAUAAAAUUAUAACUACGGGGAGAGACGUAGCCCAGUGGUAAAGCGUCCGCCAGAUGUGCAGAGAAUGUGGUGGGGUGAUAAUGUAACUUGCUUUUUUCUCAUUAAUCCCUUGUGAACACAGAUGAUUCAUUUGGUAGUAGAGUCACAACCCAGCAGUUACAGAUGUCGUCAUGUUAGUGCAUCAGGUUUGGUUUCUUACUCGUAACUGUUUGUAUAGUAAUUAGUAUCCAUAUUUUCCAAAAUUCUUUUUACUUGGCAUUUUAAAUUCAAAUUCAAAAUAGAUUAUUUGUUUUAGGGUUGACCACCCCGUAACAAUGAGUGGGACAUUAAAUGUAUAUAACAUAAAACAACCAACAUGAAAAAUCAGAUUAUCAAUAUGUACACAUAUGUCCAUGUGUUUAUUACUGAUAGGUAUUUUCCUCCUACAGAUCAACAUUUUUCAAUGCAUCAAAUAGGGUCAAAACCAAUGUUAAGUGCUGAAGUUUGUUUAUUACUUGGUAUUUAGGAACUCAUUACAGUAAAGAUUCUACAGUGUCAGUACUCUGCAUUUCUUUCUUGACGAUCGCAUUAUUUUUAGUCUGGAAUUUUAAGGAAUACUAAAUUAUUUUAAUUUAAAUUUGGAAUCUUGCUAUUUUAACAAUAUUUAACAAUUUUCACUGAAUGUGGCAAAUGUCCAUAUAGUAAUGGAAUAUUAAAGGGACAGACCCUAGUUUUUAAACACUAAGGCAUAGUUUUCACUAUUAGAGCCUUUUAUGAUCACUGAAAUCAAACAUUACUUAUAUUUUAUUCUUUAGACAAUCCAUUUUCGUACAACCAAAGUGUUUCUUGUCAUCCUUGUGUUUCUAAUUUCCACAAAAUGCAUUUUUCAUAUUGUUAAAAAAACGCAUGUGUGUCUUAGAAGUAGCAUUUAUGGAGUUGCAUUGUAGUCUUAUUUUUAAGGGCAAUUCAACAUCACAGACUCGUUUCACUUUUGUUUCACUCUGUUGUAUCCAAAUUUGUUAAAUGUUUGUAAAUUAACCAAACUUAGUGUCCAUUUUUGCGGCUUGAAACCAGAGUUUAGGUGGAAAAUAUGCCUUAGUGUUUAAAAACUAAAAGUUACUAUCCCCAUACGUUUAAGCCAAUUCCAUAUUCAGUACAGUUAUUGUAUUUUUGGGGCUUCCCGGUAUAUGUACAUGUAUAUAUAAUAAAUGUAUACUUGUAUAUAUAUUUUUUUUCCACAACAGGUUGGUUUCCACUCGAGUUCCCGUCUAAAUCCCACAUUUUAUGAUGUGAUGGAGAGCUGUUUGGAUUCAGCUGUUCCUGAAGGUCUUCGAGGAUGAAGAAGUACAAUGUUCAGAAGUCUGAAGUAAAGGCUGCACUGUUACCAUGUUGUCAACACUGGGGUAUUUCCUGUUCAGACCAAUGUUAGACCUGUGUGUGAAGGACAGUGGAGUGUGCUGACCUGUACAUGUUAGACAUCAUCUCCUUGCUGCUAACUGAUAAUGGACAUAGGCAGCCACAUUUGUACUUAUAAAACACCUUUUUUCUGAUGAGUGGCAACAAAGGAACGAGAUAAAAGGCUGUAGCCAGAUUGAAGAUGUGGGUUUCUUCUCUAACUGACGCUACAAUUUCAGACAAUUUUCAAACUUUGAAAUACAUGGAGCUCAUGCGAAAUAAAUCUGUCUUGCAUGGGCUAUGAUGUCAUUGAAUUUAACAUGGGGAGUAUUACGGCAUUGGCAAUACAUCACGUCAUAUCAAUGCAAGUUGGUUAGUUUUGGAUCAAUAUUUUGUGAACUUAUUAAAACCUUCAUUAU
This is a long non-coding RNA of Gigantopelta aegis, 2295 nucleotides long. RefSeq lists it as uncharacterized. The transcript is spliced from 2 exons. The record is from RefSeq and is a predicted model, not a curated record. Lineage: Eukaryota; Metazoa; Mollusca; Gastropoda; Neomphalida; Peltospiridae.